RNAcentral lists this transfer RNA (76 nucleotides) under Candidatus Saccharimonadota bacterium. Its description in RNAcentral is "tRNA-Ala". It matches the Rfam family "tRNA". From Rfam's summary of the family: Transfer RNA (tRNA) molecules are approximately 80 nucleotides in length. Their secondary structure includes four short double-helical elements and three loops (D, anti-codon, and T loops). Lineage: Bacteria; Candidatus Saccharimonadota. The record is from RNAcentral.
GGGGCAUUAGCUCAGCUGAUAGAGCGCGGCAUUCGCAUUGCCGAGGUCGGGGGUUUGAACCCCCCAUGCUCCACCA